GAUGAACGCUGGCGGCGUGCCUAAUACAUGCAAGUCGAACGCUGGAAAUCUAGCUUGCUAGAUUGAAGGAGUGGCGAACGGGUGAGUAAUACAUAAGCAACCUACCCACGAAGACUGGGAUAAUCUCUGAAACGGGGACUAAUACCGGAUAGGUAAUCGGAAGGCAUCUUCUGAUUAUUAAAGGUUAAAAACACUGGUGGAUGGGCUUAUGGCGCAUUAGUUAGUUGGUGAGGUAACGGCCCACCAAGACGAUGAUGCGUAGCCGGCCUGAGAGGGUGAACGGCCACAUUGGGACUGAGACACGGCCCAGACUCCUACGGGAGGCAGCAGUAGGGAAUUUUCGGCAAUGGGGGAAACCCUGACCGAGCAACGCCGCGUGAGUGAUGACGGCCUUCGGGUUGUAAAGCUCUGUUGUAAGGGAAGAACGGUAGAUAGAGAAUAUCUAAAUGACGGUACCUUACCAGAAAGCCACGGCUAACUACGUG
This 485-nucleotide ribosomal RNA is filed under the name uncultured bacterium. Its description in RNAcentral is "partial 16S ribosomal RNA". It matches the Rfam family "Bacterial small subunit ribosomal RNA", at positions 28 to 507 of the family's 1533-position model. The record is from RNAcentral.